Molecule: long non-coding RNA, 329 nt
Organism: Apus apus (common swift)
Lineage: Eukaryota; Metazoa; Chordata; Aves; Apodiformes; Apodidae
Exons: 3
Source: RefSeq, a predicted model, not a curated record
GCUGAGCACUCAGGAUCUACCUGUCACACGUCAGCACCAGCUGAAGAAAAAGACAUCAGUGAAGCUGUGGAGAACUCUGGGGUGCAGGGCAUGGUGCUUGCUGGUGCUCUUGAAAAACAAUCCAAGUCAGAAGCUUUGCUGGAAGAGACCAAGUGCUGCUGCAGGGAGCUGAGGAAAAGGAAUCUGGGCUUGCAAGAGGAAUUGGAAGAGGUUAAAAGCAAGGUGCAGGACUUGGUAGACUGGCAUCUGCAGUUUGUGUGUUGUGUUGGUGGUCUGAGGGUUGCCUGGGAUGAGGAAGAAAGAGAGCUAAGAGCUUCUUUCCAGAAACU